Molecule: ribosomal RNA, 467 nt
Filed under: uncultured bacterium
Lineage: Bacteria
Description: SSU rRNA
Rfam family: Bacterial small subunit ribosomal RNA
Source: RNAcentral
AGGACGAACGCUGGCGGCGUGCUUAACACAUGCAAGUCGAGCGGAAAGGCCCUUCGGGGUACUCGAGCGGCGAACGGGUGAGUAACACGUGAGUAAUCUGCCCCUAGCUCUGGGAUAGCUCCGGGAAACCGGGAUUAAUACCAGAUACGACCACUUUAGACAUCUUCUGUGGUGGAAAGAACUUCGGCUAGGGAUGAACUCGCGGCCUAUCAGCUUGUUGGUGAGGUAACGGCUCACCAAGGCGACGACGGGUAGCCGGCCUGAGAGGGCGACCGGCCACACUGGGACUGAGACACGGCCCAGACUCCUACGGGAGGCAGCAGUGGGGAAUAUUGCGCAAUGGGCGAAAGCCUGACGCAGCGACGCCGCGUGGGGAUGAAGGCCUUCGGUUGUAACCCUUUCAGCAGGACGAAGCGAAGUGACGGUACUGCAGAAGAAGCGCCGGCUAACUACGCGCCAGCAGCCGC